GGUCUCGUAGUGUAGCGGUUAUCACCGUGGACUCUGACUCCACUAACCCAGGUUCGAAUCCUGGCGGGACCUU
Molecule: transfer RNA, 73 nt
Filed under: Babesia caballi
Lineage: Eukaryota; Apicomplexa; Aconoidasida; Piroplasmida; Babesiidae
Description: tRNA-Gln
Rfam family: tRNA
About the family: Transfer RNA (tRNA) molecules are approximately 80 nucleotides in length. Their secondary structure includes four short double-helical elements and three loops (D, anti-codon, and T loops).
Source: RNAcentral